AACGAACGCUGGCGGCAUGCCUAACACAUGCAAGUCGAACGAGACCUUCGGGUCUAGUGGCGCCCGGGUGCGUAACGCGUGGGAACCUGCCCUUAGGUUCGGAAUAACUCUCCGAAAGGGGUGCUAAUACCGGAUAAUGUCUUCGGACCAAAGAUUGAUCGCCUUUGGAUGGGCCCGCGUUGGAUUAGCUCGUUGGUAGGGUAAAAGCCUACUAAGGGGACGAUCCAUAGCUGGUCUGAGAGGAUGGUCAGCCACACUGGGACUGAGACACGGCCCAGACUCCUACGGGAGGCAGCAGUGGGGAAUAUUGGACAAUGGGCGAAAGCCUGAUCCAGCAAUGCCGCGUGAGUGAUGAAGGCCGUAGGGUUGUAAAGCUCUUGUACCCGGGAUGAUAAUGACAGUACCGGGAGAAUAAGCUCCGGCUAACUCCGUG
RNAcentral lists this ribosomal RNA (433 nucleotides) under uncultured bacterium. RNAcentral's name for it is "partial 16S ribosomal RNA". It matches the Rfam family "Bacterial small subunit ribosomal RNA", at positions 29 to 507 of the family's 1533-position model. The record is from RNAcentral.